AUUGAACGCUGGCGGCAUGCUUUACACAUGCCAGUCGAACGGUAACAGGCCUUCGGGUGCUGACGAGUGGCGCACGGGUGAGUAAUGCAUCGGAACGUACCCAGAGGUGGGGGAUAACGCAGCGAAAGCUGUGCUAAUACCGCAUGUGAUCUGAGGAUGAAAGCGGGGGACCGAGCAGCAAUGUUUGGCCUCGCGCCUUUGGAGCGGCCGAUGUCGGAUUAGCUAGUUGGUGGGGUAAAGGCCUACCAAGGCGACGAUCCGUAGCUGGUCUGAGAGGACGACCAGCCACACUGGGACUGAGACACGGCCCAGACUCCUACGGGAGGCAGCAGUGGGGAAUUUUGGACAAUGGGCGCAAGCCUGAUCCAGUAAUGCCGCGUGCGGGAAGAAGGCCUUCGGGUUGUAAACCGCUUUUGGCAGGAACGAAACGGUGUCCGCUAAUACCGGGCGCUAAUGACGGUACCUGCAGAAUAAGCACCGGCUAACUACGUG
RNAcentral lists this ribosomal RNA (492 nucleotides) under uncultured bacterium. Its description in RNAcentral is "partial 16S ribosomal RNA". It matches the Rfam family "Bacterial small subunit ribosomal RNA", at positions 30 to 507 of the family's 1533-position model. The record is from RNAcentral.